RNAcentral lists this ribosomal RNA (428 nucleotides) under Pseudomonadota bacterium. RNAcentral's name for it is "Proteobacteria bacterium partial 16S ribosomal RNA". It matches the Rfam family "Bacterial small subunit ribosomal RNA", at positions 355 to 776 of the family's 1533-position model. The record is from RNAcentral. Lineage: Bacteria; Pseudomonadati; Pseudomonadota.
UGGGGAAUAUUGGACAAUGGGCGAAAGCCUGAUCCAGCCAUGCCGCGUGUGUGAAGAAGGUCUUCGGAUUGUAAAGCACUUUAAGUUGGGUGGAAGGGCAGUAAGCGAAUACCUUGCUGUUUUGACGUUACCACAGAAUUAGCACCGGCUAACUCUGUGUCAGCAGCCGCGGUAAUACAGAGGGUGCAAGCCUUUAUCGGAAUUACUGGGCGUAAAGCGCGCGUAGGUGGUUCGUUAAGUUGAAUGUGAAAGCCCCGGGCUCAACCUGGGAACUGCAUACAAAACUGGCGAGCUAGAGUAGGGCAGAGGGUGGUGGAAUUUCCUGUGUAGCGGUGAAAUGCGUAGAUAUAGGAAGGAACACCAGUGGCGAAGGCGAGCACCUGGGCUCAUACUGACACUGAGGUGCGAAAGCGUGGGGAGCAAACAGG